CGCAGCCACGGUAAUCCCAGCUCCAAUAGCGUAUAUUAAAGUUGUUGCAGUUAAAAGGCUCGUAGUUGAAUUUCGGGAUCAAGGAAUCGGUCAUGCCUUGGUAUGUACUGGUUUUAUUGGUUCUCACCUUCUAAAGAACCAUAAUGUCAUUUAUUUGAUGUUAUGGGGAAUUAGGACUGUUACCUUGAAAAAUUAGAGUGUUUAAAGCAAGCUUACGCUUGAAUACAUUAGCAUGGAAUAAUGAAAUAGGACAUCCGAUUCUAUUUUGUUGGUUUCUAGGAUCGAUGUAAUGAUUAAUAGGGAUAGUUGGGGGCAUUAGUAUUCAAUUGUCAGAGGUGAAAUUCUUGGAUUUAUUGAAGACUAACUACUGCGAAAGCAUUUGCCAAGGAUGUUUUCAUUAAUCAAGAACGAAAGUUAGGGAUCGAAGACGAUCAGAUACCGUCGUAGUCU
RNAcentral lists this ribosomal RNA (450 nucleotides) under uncultured Glomeromycotina. RNAcentral describes it as "SSU rRNA". It matches the Rfam family "Eukaryotic small subunit ribosomal RNA", at positions 569 to 1026 of the family's 1831-position model. Lineage: Eukaryota; Fungi; Glomeromycota. The record is from RNAcentral.